GGGGUCUGAUCAUGUCUAGAAAGAGGAUUCUAUUAGUCCAAAAAUGAGUCAUGAUUCUUGAAAAUGGCAGAUACAUAGUUUCUCUCUAAUUUUGUGCCAGUCAUACUGAAGGAAGCCAUUGUCCACUAAUCUUUUGAUGUGAUGACCAACAAUCCCAAUGCACCUAUCAAUAUAUACUUGAUAAUUGGUUUUUCGGUCAUGAUUAUCGUUACCCAACCAACAUAAGGCAAGAACCCAACA
RNAcentral lists this unclassified non-coding RNA (240 nucleotides) under Hevea brasiliensis (rubber tree). Lineage: Eukaryota; Viridiplantae; Streptophyta; Magnoliopsida; Malpighiales; Euphorbiaceae. The record is from RNAcentral.